UAUUGCACAAUGGGGGAAACCCUGAUGCAGCGACGCUGCGUGAAGGAAGAAGUAUCUCGGUAUGUAAACUUCUACCAGUAGGGAAGAUAGUGACGGUACCUGACUCAGAAGCCCAGGCUAACUACGUUCCAGCAGCCGCGGUAAUACGUAGGGGGCAAGCGUUAUCCGGAUUUACUGGGUGUAAAAGGGAGCGUAGACGGACUGGCAAGUCUGAUGUGAAAGGCGGGGGCUCAACCCCUGGACUGCAUUGGAAACUGUUAGUCUUGAGUGCCGGAGAGGUAAGCGGAAUUCCUAGUGUAGCGGUGAAAUGCGUAGAUAUUAGGAGGAACACCAGUGGCGAAGGCGGCUUACUGGACGGUAACUGACGUUGAGGCUCGAAAGCGUGGGGAGCAAACAGG
Molecule: ribosomal RNA, 398 nt
Filed under: uncultured bacterium
Lineage: Bacteria
Description: bacterial SSU rRNA
Rfam family: Bacterial small subunit ribosomal RNA
Source: RNAcentral